Long non-coding RNA from Trichomycterus rosablanca, 339 nucleotides. RefSeq lists it as uncharacterized. The record is from RefSeq and is a predicted model, not a curated record. Lineage: Eukaryota; Metazoa; Chordata; Actinopteri; Siluriformes; Trichomycteridae. The transcript has 3 exons.
UCCACUGAAGUGUCGUAGCUGCUGCUGAGCGAGUGACUGAUCAUGGAUGAUGAAGUGUCCCUAUAGGAGAAAGAGGUGCUCCAUCAGGGCUGACGUGCUGUACUCAGGACCUGGGGGGUUCUGUGAGCCUCCCUGUCUCUGUGCAACCAGGAAAGAGGGAAAAAGAUGCUUGAUAAUCAGAAGGGGUGAGCUGCAACCUUUCCCCCAGAUUAAGGGUCAUGCAGAAAGGACCAGUGGACGUUUGGAUUGGACACACAGGAAGAGUGGAAUGGAACUGGAAAAAUGCAACAUGUCCUGUGGGAGAACUGGAUCCUGCUGUCUAAAGCUGAGAUCCUAAAC